AGUGAACGCUAGUGGCGUGCUUAACACAUGCAAGUCGAACGGACGAUAUUUGUGCUUGCACAAAUAAAGUUAGUGGCAAACGGGUGAGUAAUACAUGAGAAUUUUCCUUGCAGUACGGAAUAACUAUUGGAAACAGUAGCUAAUACCGUAUAUUGCCGAGAGGUGAAAGAUUUAUCGCUGCAAGAUAAGCCCAUGCAAGAUUAGCUUGUUGGUAAGGUAAUGGCUUACCAAGGCUACGAUCUUUAGCUGGUUUGAGAGGAUGAUCAGCCACACUGGAACUUAGACACGGUCCAGACUCCUACGGGAGGCAGCAGUGAGGAAUAUUGCACAAUAGGCGAAACCCUGAUGCAGCGACGCCGCGUGGGGGAUGACGGCCUUCGGGUUGUAAACCUCUUUCAGUAGGGAAGAAGCCUUUGGGUGACGGUACCUGCAGAAGAAGUACCGGCUAACUACGUGCCAGCCGCCGCCGUAAG
RNAcentral lists this ribosomal RNA (473 nucleotides) under uncultured bacterium. Its description in RNAcentral is "bacterial SSU rRNA". It matches the Rfam family "Bacterial small subunit ribosomal RNA", at positions 29 to 524 of the family's 1533-position model. The record is from RNAcentral.